GGAAAGGCAGUGUCUCAGUGGCAGAGCAUCUGCCUUGCAUGCAGAAGGUCCAAGCUUCAAUCCCUGACCUCUCCA
This 75-nucleotide transfer RNA is filed under the name Podarcis lilfordi (Lilford's wall lizard). Its description in RNAcentral is "tRNA.Ala". The record is from RNAcentral. Lineage: Eukaryota; Metazoa; Chordata; Lepidosauria; Squamata; Lacertidae.